RNAcentral lists this non-coding RNA (22 nucleotides) under Gossypium hirsutum (cotton). The record is from RNAcentral. Lineage: Eukaryota; Viridiplantae; Streptophyta; Magnoliopsida; Malvales; Malvaceae.
AGAAAAACUUACAAACAGGAUC